ACUAUUUUGGCAGAUUAGUGCAAUAAAUUUAGAAUUUAUGGAUGUAAUUUUUUUACAAAUAGUA
RNAcentral lists this transfer RNA (64 nucleotides) under Parastratiosphecomyia szechuanensis. Its description in RNAcentral is "tRNA-Leu". Lineage: Eukaryota; Metazoa; Arthropoda; Insecta; Diptera; Stratiomyidae. The record is from RNAcentral.